GUGGGGAAUAUUGGACAAUGGGCGAAAGCCUGAUCCAGCCAUGCCGCGUGUGUGAAGAAGGUCUUCGGAUUGUAAAGCACUUUAAGUUGGGAGGAAGGGCAGUAAGUUAAUACCUUGCUGUUUUGACGUUACCGACAGAAUAAGCACCGGCUAACUUCGUGUCAGCAGCCGCGGUAAUACGAAGGGUGCAAGCGUUAAUCGGAAUUACUGGGCGUAAGCGCGCGUAGGUGGUUUUGUAAGUUGGAGGUGAAAUCCCCGGGCUCAACCUGGGAACUGCCUCCAAAACUGCAUGACUAGAGUACGGUAGAGGGUAGUGGAAUUUCCUGUGUAGCGGUGAAAUGCGUAGAUAUAGGAAGGAACACCAGUGGCGAAGGCGACUACCUGGACUGAUACUGACACUGAGGUGCGAAAGCGUGGGGAGCAAACAGGAUUAGAAACCCCGGUAGUCC
This 449-nucleotide ribosomal RNA is filed under the name uncultured bacterium. Its description in RNAcentral is "partial 16S ribosomal RNA". It matches the Rfam family "Bacterial small subunit ribosomal RNA", at positions 354 to 796 of the family's 1533-position model. The record is from RNAcentral.